This 253-nucleotide ribosomal RNA is filed under the name uncultured bacterium. RNAcentral's name for it is "partial 16S ribosomal RNA". It matches the Rfam family "Bacterial small subunit ribosomal RNA", at positions 524 to 776 of the family's 1533-position model. The record is from RNAcentral.
GACGAACCGUCCUAACGUUGUUCGGAAUCACUGGGCGUAAAGGGCGCGUAGGCGGCGCCCCAAGUCUGUGGUGAAAGCUCGCCGCUUAACGGCGAGUCGGCCACGGAUACUGGGUGGCUCGAGCGCUGUAGGGGCAGAUGGAAUUCCGGGUGUAGCGGUGGAAUGCGUAGAGAUCCGGAAGAACACCGGUGGCGAAGGCGGUCUGCUGGGCAGUAGCUGACACUGAGGCGCGACAGCGUGGGGAGCAAACAGG